GUACACGUGGGUAACCUGCCUGUAAGACUGGGAUAACUCCGGGAAACCGGAGCUAAUACCGGAUAGUUCCUUGAACCGCAUGGUUCAAGGAUGAAAGACGGUUUCGGCUGUCACUUACAGAUGGACCCGCGGCGCAUUAGCUAGUUGGUGGGGUAAUGGCUCACCAAGGCGACGAUGCGUAGCCGACCUGAGAGGGUGAUCGGCCACACUGGGACUGAGACACGGCCCAGACUCCUACGGGAGGCAGCAGUAGGGAAUCUUCCGCAAUGGACGAAAGUCUGACGGAGCAACGCCGCGUGAGUGAUGAAGGUUUUCGGAUCGUAAAGCUCUGUUGUUAGGGAAGAACAAGUGCGAGAGUAACUGCUCGCACCUUGACGGUACCUAACCAGAAAGCCACGGCUAACUACGUGCCAGCAGCCGCGGUAAUACGUAGGUGGCAAGCGUUGUCCGGAAUUAUUGGGCGUAAAGGGCUCGCAGGCGGUUUCUUAAGUCUGAUGUGAAAGCCCCCGGCUCAACCGGGGAGGGUCAUUGGAAACUGGGAAACUUGAGUGCAGAAGAGGAGAGUGGAAUUCCACGUGUAGCGGUGAAAUGCGUAGAGAUGUGGAGGAACACCAGUGGCGAAGGCGACUCUCUGGUCUGUAACUGACGCUGAGGAGCGAAAGCGUGGGGAGCGAACAGGAUUAGAUACCCUGGUAGUCCACGCCGUAAACGAUGAGUGCUAAGUGUUAGGGGGUUUCCGCCCCUUAGUGCUGCAGCUAACGCAUUAAGCACUCCGCCUGGGGAGUACGGUCGCAAGACUGAAACUCAAAGGAAUUGACGGGGGCCCGCACAAGCGGUGGAGCAUGUGGUUUAAUUCGAAGCAACGCGAAGAACCUUACCAGGUCUUGACAUCCUCUGACAACCCUAGAGAUAGGGCUUUCCCUUCGGGGACAGAGUGACAGGUGGUGCAUGGUUGUCGUCAGCUCGUGUCGUGAGAUGUUGGGUUAAGUCCCGCAACGAGCGCAACCCUUGAUCUUAGUUGCCAGCAUUCAGUUGGGCACUCUAAGGUGACUGCCGGUGACAAACCGGAGGAAGGUGGGGAUGACGUCAAAUCAUCAUGCCCCUUAUGACCUGGGCUACACACGUGCUACAAUGGACAGAACAAAGGGCUGCAAGACCGCAAGGUUUAGCCAAUCCCAUAAAUCUGUUCUCAGUUCGG
RNAcentral lists this ribosomal RNA (1198 nucleotides) under Bacillus safensis. RNAcentral's name for it is "bacterial SSU rRNA". It matches the Rfam family "Bacterial small subunit ribosomal RNA", at positions 111 to 1296 of the family's 1533-position model. The record is from RNAcentral. Lineage: Bacteria; Bacillati; Bacillota; Bacilli; Caryophanales; Bacillaceae.